UACGGAAGGCAGCAGUGGGGAAUAUUGCACAAUGGGCGAAAGCCUGAUGCAGCUAUGCCGCGUGUAUGAAGAAGGCCUUAGGGUUGUAAAGUACUUUCAUCGGGGAGGAAAAAACAAAACUAAUAAUUUUAUUUCUUGACGUUACCCGAAAAAGAAGCACCGGCUAACUCCGUGCCAGCAGCCGCGGUAAUACGGAGGGUGCUAGCGUUAAUCAGAAUUACUGGGCGUAAAGAGCACGUAGGUGGUUUUUUUAAGUCAGAUGUGAAAUCCCUGGGCUUAACCUGGAACUGCAUUUUGAAACUGAAAUACUAGAGUAUCGUAGAGGGAGGUAGAAUUCUAGGUGUAGCGGUGAAAUGCGUAGAUAUCUGGAGGAAUACCUGUGGCGAAAGCGGCCUCCUAAACGAAUACUGACACUGAGUGCGAAAGCGUGGGGA
RNAcentral lists this ribosomal RNA (434 nucleotides) under uncultured bacterium. RNAcentral describes it as "bacterial SSU rRNA". It matches the Rfam family "Bacterial small subunit ribosomal RNA", at positions 340 to 767 of the family's 1533-position model. The record is from RNAcentral.